ACAGGUCACCAGACGGUCGCGGCUCUCAUUUCGAGGGCUGAGGAACGUCCGGGCUCCACAGAGCAGGGAUGGUGGGUAACACCCACCCGGGGCGACCCGCGGGCCAGUGCAACAGAAAGCAGACCGCCCAGUUCCGACUGGGUAAGGGUGAAACGGUGGUGUAAGAGACCACCAG
This 175-nucleotide RNase P RNA is filed under the name Brevibacterium linens. Its description in RNAcentral is "partial RNase P RNA component class A". It matches the Rfam family "Bacterial RNase P class A", at positions 1 to 180 of the family's 367-position model. Rfam says of the family: Ribonuclease P (RNase P) is a ubiquitous endoribonuclease, found in archaea, bacteria and eukarya as well as chloroplasts and mitochondria. Its best characterised activity is the generation of mature 5'-ends of tRNAs by cleaving the 5'-leader elements of precursor-tRNAs. Lineage: Bacteria; Bacillati; Actinomycetota; Actinomycetes; Micrococcales; Brevibacteriaceae. The record is from RNAcentral.